CAAGGAGUAGUUUAAGAAGAAUUCCAGCUUUGGGAGUUGGAGGUAGGAUGAUAAAUCUUUUCCUUGA
Molecule: transfer RNA, 67 nt
Filed under: Dipodomys merriami (Merriam's kangaroo rat)
Lineage: Eukaryota; Metazoa; Chordata; Mammalia; Rodentia; Heteromyidae
Description: tRNA-Pro
Source: RNAcentral